This 3871-nucleotide long non-coding RNA is filed under the name Eucalyptus grandis. RNAcentral describes it as "long non-coding RNA (EGRA_LNC006345)". The record is from RNAcentral. Lineage: Eukaryota; Viridiplantae; Streptophyta; Magnoliopsida; Myrtales; Myrtaceae.
CUGACACGUGACAAUCUACCUUGAAUACCAGAAUCUUGUUACGAAAAUUACAUGCCAUGGAAUAGAAGUUACUAAAUAAAUAAGAUUGAUCAUGCCGAAUUUCCAUGGUGCUGCAUCCAUGUAAAUUAGGUCGUCACAAAGGUUAUCCAACAUAAUUUUUCCCAUUUCAUUUCUUCCAUCUAAAGUAGAAACCGAAUGGGAUGGCCACCCCAGCAACCCGACACCCAAAGACAAAGACGAAAGCAUUCUAACAGUAGAAACGGCCACUUUUUAAAAAGGAACUUCCCCGCUCCCUAACAAAAGCAACAAAACAAGUUAUAACAUAAACAUCACAUGCAGAAAAAGAAAAGAUCAUGACACGAUUAAGGAUUUAUAAACCAUCAAUUAUUCAAAAAAAAUUGUCCACCAUACCACAUGCAAGAAGCACUCGCAAUAUUUUUCAAUGAGAUCUAAUGCAAUAAUUCUUACCAACAAUUAACUUAGACUUUUCCCAGAGUUGCAUUGCUCAUGUCCUUGCCCAUGUCCUUGCCGGCUAACCUGUGGCAGUCGAAGAGCAAAGUCAAAGAGGGAAGCAAUGGAAUUUAAAGUAAACCCAUAAAUAAUGCUUUGUAUAUACGGAGCAUCUAAGGGCAUCCGGUGGCUGGGCUUGCCAGAUUUGGGCGAGCUCGCCUAGCCAAGGCGAGGUCGGUGACCGGCCAAAAGAAGAAAUAAAGAAAAAAAGGAAAAUUAAAAAUAAACAAAAAAAGAACACAAAUUUACUAAAAAUAUUUAUAUUCUUUUUUUAUUCCCGGAACAAAUUUACCAAACGCGUUUUUCUGGUCAAAAAUUGUUCCCCGGAAUAAAAAUAGUUUUUUCUAUUUUUGUUCCCUAUAACACUUUUUGAACAUAAACACAAACAAACGCACCCUAAGAAACUAUAAUUUAAGAUCGCCACUUAAGGUAAUAUGGAUCCAAGUCAAAUAUGGUAAUCAUCUAUGAAGAUUCACAAUGUCCAUAAAAAUGAAGAGGAACAGAGAAGAAGUUGGGGGAUGCCUCAAGUAGGAAAGGAAAGAAGAGAAGGCAUCUUGACAAACGACACACGCAUAAGGAAUCUAAACUUACUGCAUUAUUUAAAAAUUAAGAGGAACAGAGAAGAAGUUGGGGGAUGCCUCAAGUAGGAAAGGAAAGAAGAGAAGGCAUCUUGACAAACGACACAUGCAUAAGGAAUCUAAACUUACUGCAUUAUUUAAAAAUUAAGAGGAACAUAAGAGAAGAAGUUGGGGGAUGCCUCUAGUUAUGGUGGACUUAUCUUUUGUGUGCCGGUCUUUGUGCAUGAAUCAGCCUAAAUUUUUUUAUUAGAGAUAAUCAUUUGACCUCAAAAUAUUUCCAACUACUCCCUUUGAAAAUAUCAAAAUGUUUGGGCAAUCGUGUCCAAUCCAGAAAAAAAUAUUCUUAUUUUCAUGGCAACUUUUUAAGUUGGAAAUAAAAAGAUUGUUACUUAUGGGACUAUAAAAAGAUUGUAUUAUUCCUAUUAAUGAAAUCUAUGGUAUGCAUGGGACUUUGAAAAUUCUAUGAUAUACAACUUUCUCAUGACUUAAUAGUUAAUCCUCUCCAUCAAAAUGAGCAACUCUCUAGCUCCUCAUGAGUGCGGUCUCAAGCAUAUUAGCGGGGAAUUAGUUCAAACAACAAAAAAGUACAAGAAACUCAAAACUGUAAUGCUUUAAAGGUAGAAGUCACUCUCCGUCCAAAACAAUUGACAAAUUCAAUGUCAGGAAAAUUUCAAUUCGGUAAAUUUAAAACUUGAAAAUUACCAAUUAUAUAUUUCAGAACAUAUCUAAUAUGCAACUAAUAUGGUGGUGAAUAUAUUACCAUCAUCCUAUUUCAUCAUUUACCGGCCAACACCUGUCAACAACAGGCAAUUAUGGUUGUCGAAUAACAUUGUAUCUUAAAUAUUAUCUACAAAAAGUGGAGAAUUUUGGAUGUCACAAUUGGCGGCCGGUAGUAAUGAUGCGAAAAAAUGUUCUUUGUGGAAUAUUUACUUUUGCCAAUUUAUGUUGAAUAUGUUAGGAAAUCCGUUUUGAAUACAAUUGAGUAGACUAUGCAAGAUAUUAUCAAAGAAAGAAUCAAGAGAGAGGAGACUAAAUGAAUAUAUUGAGACUUACUUAGAGAUUGUAAAGUCUCUUCCAUGUGAGGAGAUGGAACACCCUUAGAGGAGACUACUGCACAUUUGUAACCAUUUGGGUAACCAUUCUCCUCCCAGGAAUCAUUUCUCAUGGUAACUAUCUAAAAUUUUUAUUCCCAUAAUAGAAUAGAAUUAUGUUUGAUAGUGUCUUGAAAAUUUCUAAUCCAAAUCUUUUUCUUUUAAUUUUUUAAUAAUUUUAUUACUUUUCUUCUUUUCUUUCUCUUCUUCUCCCAGGUGCGAAGCCUUGGAAUGCUCGGACCCUUGGCGAGGCCACACCCAGGCUGGGCCAAGCCUUGGCUAGGUGAGCUGCCCUAUUGGGCUCAACCUCGCUAGAUCUAGCCUAGGUCUAGGCCAUGGCUAUGCUGAGGCUCACCGCCUAUGGUGGUGGGCUUGUCGAAUUGAGUAAGAGUGGUGGCAGUGGCGUUGAAGAAGAAGAAUAAGAAGAAAGAAGAGAGAGAAAAAAUAAAGAUAAGUUGGCCCGAUUCUUAUUUUAGAGACAAAUUAUGUUUCAAAUCUACUUCCCCAACAAAAAAAAAAUAGAAAUUUGUUUACAAAAACAAAAAUUUUGCCAAAGGAAUUUCUCUCCAAAAGAAUAUAAAUUUUCACUAAUUUAACCCGGCCUAAAUGAAUAUAUUAUACACGGUAUAGAACUAGACACGAGUGGAUGGAUGUGUGAUGGUACAGAAUGAAUGUCUUGUCAGUGUGAGUGCUACUUAGCUUAGAUUACCUUAGCAUGCUUCACCGAAAAAGGACUAAACCUCAUCUAGGUAUAUUAUAUAAGUAGAUUACCUUGGCAUAUUUUAAGCGGAUAAAGAUGGAUUACAUAAUAAGUUUAAAAUAGGAAAGAGAAUCAAAGAUUACCUAAGCGUUUUGAUGUUUAUCAUACUUAAUUUAAAUUUUGGAUUUGCUGUUAAGCCCUUUUGAUUCAAAUUCCUGCCCGGCAUUUGGCAUUUGAAGUAGGAGGCCAUUCUAAGUUGGAAGCAAACCUAACAAGAAGUUGGAUUUCCUCAUACGAAUAAGACGUGUAGCCCAAUAAACCAUUUUACAGGCCUGCCAUCAAUGAAAGAGCUUAAUUUUCUUGGAAUAUUGGUGAAAUUGCACGCUUAGCUUCACACCCAAUGAGCUCAAGAGGCGCCAGGAUGGAUCUGAUCCACCCACCAUGCCGCAACAGGCCCCCACCACUACACAGGCGCUACUACACACCGUCCUGCAUUCCUCAUUAUGGGUACCUUGCCCCUCCAUAAUUUUAAACUUCAACCAGAAUCCUCCCAUAAUUUCUACCUUCCUAAUCUUUUCCCAUCUCAUUCAAUCAGUUCCGCAGCAGCACACGCAUCCACUCCAGGAACACCACCUCCCACGUCCAGAUUAGAAAACAAGUACUACCAACCGAAUUAUAAGAAUAUAUCCACCACCUACUCCCGACUCACAGGUGACAAUCUACCUUGAAUACCAGAAUCUUGUUACCAAAAUUACAUGCCACCGGAUAGAAGUCACUAAAUAAAUAAGAUUGAUCAUGCCGAAUGUCCAUGGUGCUGCAUCCAUGUAAAUUAGGUCGUCACAAAGGUUAUCCAACAGAAUUUUUCCCAUUUCAUUUCUUCCAUCUAAAGUAGAAACCGGAUGGGAUGGCCACCCCAGCAACCCGACACCCAAAGACAAAGACGAAAGCAUUCUAACAGUAGAAACGGCCACUUUUUAAAAAGGAACUUCCCC